RNAcentral lists this ribosomal RNA (423 nucleotides) under Atelopus hoogmoedi group sp. ABGD cluster 1. RNAcentral's name for it is "partial large subunit ribosomal RNA". It matches the Rfam family "Bacterial large subunit ribosomal RNA", at positions 1822 to 2457 of the family's 2925-position model. Lineage: Eukaryota; Metazoa; Chordata; Amphibia; Anura; Bufonidae. The record is from RNAcentral.
CUUGAGUUAUAAACAUAAGAGGUCCAGCCUGCCCAGUGAUUAAAUUUAACGGCCGCGGUAUCCUAACCGUGCGAAGGUAGCGUAAUCACUUGUUCUUUAAAUGAGGACUAGUAUGAACGGCACCACGAAGGUUUUACUGUCUCCUUUUCCUAAUCAGUGAAACUAAUCUUCCCGUGAAGAAGCGGGAAUAAACGAAUAAGACGAGAAGACCCUAUGGAGCUUUAAACACAAUAACAAAUACUACUUUAAACAAAAAUUUCUUAAUGACUUACUCCCUGGUAUUAUGAUUAUUAGUUUUAGGUUGGGGUGACCGCGGAGAAAAACACAACCUCCACAUUGAAUGAUAAAAUUCUAAGCAAAGAAUUACAUUUCCACGCAUCAAUACAUUGACAUCAAUUGACCCAAUUAUUUUGAUCAACGAAC